CUGAGCCUCCGGCCGGGCAGGAACACCACCGCGGCCCUAGACCGUCGCUCCCGCCGCUCCCCGCUCCCGCACCACGGCGACUCCACUCCCUCCCCGCGCCAUCGCCCCUGCUGCGGGUCUAGCUGCGCUGCUCCUUGGAGAUGCCUCCAAGACGACGGAGUCAAGGCCCUGCGAGCUCGACCGCUGUUCCACCCCCGCCCCCCUCUCCUGCUCGAUUCCAGGAGGACUGCGCCCAGAUGGUGAGAUUGAUCUCACCUCUCCCGCACGCGGCACUCAUGACGACGGGAAUCCCGGGGUGGGUGGAUCGGGCGAAGCGGAUUCACGCUGCUACAGCGGCGUGGAUCUGCCGGAUCCAGGAGCUCAAAGCAGCAGAUCAGGCGGUGGUGGCGGCGCGAGAUCCGGAAUCAGAGGCGGCAGCGACAAGGGUUGCGGAUGCCUGCCGCCUGAGAGCAGAAGCAGAAUAGAGGAAUUUGGCACGGCGCAUCUACGACGAAGCAACAACAGCGGAGAGGGCGCGGAUGCCCCCCUUCCCGCACUCCACGUCGACAGCAUAUGUGCAGUGGGCAAGGGCGGAGGCGAAAUCCGGCGAUCCCCGCAGGGCGAUGAGAUGGGAAGGCAUGCUGGGGGUGGUGCCCUCGGGUGCGCCGCUCCAAGGCAUCUCAUCCUGGCCACUGGCGUCAAUUCGAGAGUGAUUGCUCAGGCUGGAUUGAUUGCAGGUGGAUCAGAUUAUCGCCUACCGCGCUCGGAGAAGGAGAAGAUCUCUUGGUCAUCAACGGCGGCGAACUCUAGUAAUUACUGCACCUGUGAUGAUACUCCGAGCUGCUGCACUACUGUUCUUAUUCCCAGUCGUCGGCGUUCUACGUGGCCACCGCUGUUUGUUGUUCCUCCUCCGAUGAGGAUUGGUGUUCGUAGGAAUAGGAACAAAUCCAGCCUGCCCCAAUCUGGUGUUGGUGGCCGUCCGAUGUGUUCUAUUUCAUUCUCCCCCGAUGCCACGAGUGAUUCUGACUGCCAUGUGACCCAUAGACGCCGGAUAUCCCCAUCUCUGCCGCCGUUCGUGGUUCCGCGCGUUGACGGACAAAAAAUGGGGAUCAACGAGCAGGGCCCGGCUGUCUGCCUUAGAAGAUGGACUGGCCGUCCGAUUCCUCCUAAAGGGAUCGGGACCGUAGUUUCUCCCCCCACUACCUGUGGCAAAGAGAUUUAUAAUCCCCCCACCGACAGCUAUCCUGCGCCUCGUCCCUCUAGGGUUCAUCCUCGUGCGCUUCGCCGCCAUGACCACCAUAAGCUAGUUUGGGUUAGGCGUGAUCUCUUUGUUUCUGGUAAUUUUUCGGCUUCAGAUUGUUACCCUGUUGGCCCUUCAGACCGCAUCGUUGCUCCUAAGCAAUUCAGCUUCUCCCGUGAUUUUUGGUCAAGGAAGACUGGGAAAAUCCCCUUUGCUGCUGUAGUGAAGAAGAUGGCUGGAUCUGGGCAAAUUCCUGGACCUAGGGGAGGCAGAUCCGGGGGGGGGGGGGGGGGGGGGCAUGGUGGUGAUGCAAUUCGACCUCCAGCUGCUGUGAAUGCGCCUCCAGCCCGUGCUCCUACUGCCCCUGUCCCUGUCCCUGCUCCUGCCCUCAACCAACAGGGCCCUCCCAUGUCUAUCUUUGCCAAGUCCCCCAUUAUUCCUAUAGGGACCAAUCCUCCCAAUUUCAUUCAUCCUGGCAUGAAUCAAGUUUAUCCUGGAUUCCCUGCCAACAACUAUCAAUACUCUCAUAUGCCCCCUUGGAUGCAAUAGCCGCAGUUCCAAUUCCCCUAUAUGCAACAUAAUCUCCCAAUGCAAUUCCCUCAUCCUCUACCUUUGAGCUCUGGAAGUACGUCUGGAGGAAGUGGGCAAGUGGGUUCUGGAAAGAACAAAAAGAAGAACAGGACUAGUGCUAAAAAGCAAGCUAUGACUGCUGCUGGAGCUGUUGACAGUGCUACUGUUCAUACAGCCUCAGACUCUGAAGAAUAUAUGAUAGACCCUAAGUAUAUUGGUACUAUCUGCUACAACUGUGGCCUUCCUGGUCACUUUGUGGGCAUGUGCUCUGUUCCCAAAAUCUGCUUCAUCUGUAAAACCCCAGGCCACCAUAUGGACAUCUGCCCAAAGUGGUAUGAACCUUAUCCUGCAGCCCAAUAUUGGGGAAGUGCUAAUAGUGGCCUUGGUUUCUUUCAUAUUGAAGCUGGUGACAAGUGUGACAGCAGCUGGCUGAAUUUUGGCAAUGUUGGGCUGGUUGUUGUGGAAGAAGGCAAUAUCACUGCUGAAGAACUAGAAAGCUGCUUUAUUGGGAUGUGGAAAACUAACUGGCCUUGGUAGAUCAGACCUUGUGAUGAAACUCAAUUUCUAGUUAGAUUCCCUCCCAACAAAAAGAUUUCUGAUCUGGUUGCUUUUAAAUCUAUUAACCUGAAGAAGAAGGGAGUUACUAUAUCCUUCAAAGACUGGCAUGGUGACCUCCCUGCUUUUGAUUCUCUCAAUGAAGUUUGGGUUAAUAUCAUUGGCAUUCCUCCUGUCUGGUGCACCUGGCCAGUCAUCUCUCAAAUUGCUUCUUCCCUGGGUGUCAUUGUCAAUAUUGACUGGCAUGAAAUCUUCAGAAGUUUCUAUGAAGUUGUCAGGGUUCAAGUUGCUGUUAGAGAUCCACAGCUGAUUCCUAAGGAUAGGUUAUAUGAGAUCCAACAGGGACUGUAUCUGCUCAACUUUGAAGUUGAUGAUAAUACUGUUACUGAAUCUCCUAACCACAAACCUUCAGAUGGUCCUCUUGGUCCUUCUACUGGUACUGAAGAUCAUGGGAAUGCUGACAGGAAUGGAGAUGGUGAUAAUGACAGCGAUGAUGACAUACUUGGGGAGGAGAUGGAGCAAGAUGCUAGCAAUCAGAUUCCCAAGAAUCCUACUCCUGCCCCAAGUGGAUCUAAGUCUAGAACUGUCCAUCCUAUCCCUCAUACCCCUAUUGAGCAAGCUCAUUUAAUUUCUUCAAAUCACCUGGGAGCCCCUGUGACCAAGAGUUAUCUAGAUGCUGCUAAGAAAGCCAACUAUGAAGGCUGUGGCAACAGUUUGCUGGCUCAGUUUGAAGCAGUGAAGGGUAACUCCAAUGACAUUGGCCCCAAUCCCUUAACUUCAGCCUCAGCUAUCACUACCCUCUCUUGUCCUACUCCCAGACCUCAGGCCACUAGGACUGACCAAGGGAGAUGGGGCCCUGUUGUUGCCACUAGGAUGAGCAACAGGAUUAUAAGAGAUGGCAAGAAUGCUAUAGCUAAAGCCCAGGAAAUUAAGCAAGUUCAGAACCUAGAGGUAACCAAAGGUAAAACUACUACUAGCUCCAAUAAUUCCUUUGCUUGCCUUGAUAAUGAGCUUCUUCUGUAUAAUGCUGAUUUAUCUGGCUUAAAACUUGGGAAUGAUCCUAUUAGCUGCUUCAAUAAUAUUGAGUAUAUUAAGCAAAAAGAGCUUGAAAGGUUGUCUAAUUUUCAAAAAGACAACCCUGAGUUAUUUCCCCCUCCUGACACUGAUGUCAAUGGAGUUAAAUACUGCAAUACUAAGAGUGACACUGAGACAAACCCUUCCCCCCGCACUGGAAAUAACUUAGAAGUGGAGGAGGGUGAGAUUCCUUGGAUGGAAGUAUCCCAUCAAAGGUCCAAAAAGUGUCAUGGUAGGAGUAGAUUUUCUAAGAAUAUUUACUAAUGAUUGGUGCUUUCUGGAACAUUAGAGGCCUCAAUGGUCCUUCUAAAAACACCAGAGUUCAAGAGCUUGUAAAAGCUUGUUGCCCAGAUUUCAUUUGUUUGUCUGAAACCAAGAAAGCUGAUUUUACCAUUCCACAACUAGAAGCUAUUGAUACUAGAAGUGGAUUUGUGUGGAAUUGGCUCCCUGCUGUUGGUACUGCAUGAGGUAUUUUAAUUGGAGUUAAAGAUGAUAAGUUUGACAUCUUAAAUUGUGAUAUUCACACUUUCUGCAUCUCCUGUAUUUUAAAGUGCAAACACAAUGACACUAAAUGGAGAUUAAUCUCUGUAUAUGGUUCAACUUAUGAUGAGUUUAAACUUGAUUUCAUUAAUGAACUUGACAGUGUCCUUGCUGAGUGGUCUGGCCCCACCUUAGUUGGAGGGGAUUUUAAUUUUGUCAGGAAUACCAGUGAGAAGAAUACUGGCUCCAUUAACCAACACUGGGCUGACCUGUUCAAUGAUUGGAUCAAUAAGUUUGGUCUCAUUGAAAUUAAGAAUGCUGGUAGAAGGUAUACUUGGGCUAAUAACCAAGACAACCUUAUCAUGGCCACUCUAGAUAGGGUUUUUGUUUCUGUUGAUUGGGAGGACCUUUUCCCUGGGGCUUCCAUUAAAGCUCUCCCCAGAUUGGGCAGUGAUCACACACCCCUGGUGUUGAACACUUCCAAUGGACCUCCCUCUUUCCCUACUAAGUUUUUUAGGUUUGAGAAAUGGUGGCUAGAAAUUCCUGGCUUUGAUGAGGUUAUUCACAAAGCCUGGAAUACUAAAUGCAAUUCCACCAAGGCCAUUGAUAUUUGGCAAUUUAAGAUCAGAACCACCUGGAAAGCUGCUAAAGGAUGGUGUGCUAACUAUGAAGCAGACCAGAAUAGGACUAAGCAAGCUUUGGUGGUUGAGUAUAAUUUCUUAGAUGUUUUAGCUGAGUCUCAACCUUUAUCCCCUAACUCUAAAAAAAGAAUGAAAACCAUUGCAGGUGAUUUCAAUGAUAUAUGGAGGAAGGAGGAGAUCAAGGCUAGACAGAGAUCCAGGGAGAAGGAGAUACUGGAGGGAGAACUCAACACUGGGUACUUCAGAGCAGUGGCCAAUCAAAAAAGGAGGAGGAAACAGAUUGCUGUACUAGAAACCCCUUCAGGUCCUAUGGAAGACACUAAAGGCUAUCUGGCGAAAAACUGCGUCAAAUCUGUCUACAUGGGAGUGCCUGUCCUCAGAGUGUGCCAAGGACAGGGUGGUGUGGGCUGCGAAAGAACUGGAGAUGAAAGCAAGAAGCCCACCUCUGCUAAUGUGGCCAGAUCCUGGAUG
Molecule: RNA transcript, 5010 nt
Organism: Triticum aestivum (bread wheat)
Lineage: Eukaryota; Viridiplantae; Streptophyta; Magnoliopsida; Poales; Poaceae
Exons: 2
Source: RefSeq, a predicted model, not a curated record